Long non-coding RNA from Etheostoma spectabile (orangethroat darter), 112 nucleotides. RefSeq lists it as uncharacterized. The record is from RefSeq and is a predicted model, not a curated record. NCBI's taxonomy places the organism in Eukaryota, Metazoa, Chordata, Actinopteri, Perciformes, Percidae. The transcript has 3 exons.
UCUUCUCCUAAAAGAGGGCACACUUCCAACUUUGUGUGGAAUACUUGCAGACGAGGGACAUGUACGUAGUUCUAUACAAUCUAUUUUGUAGAUUAGGGUGAAUCUGUGUAUU